Molecule: ribosomal RNA, 414 nt
Filed under: Polypedates leucomystax (Java whipping frog)
Lineage: Eukaryota; Metazoa; Chordata; Amphibia; Anura; Rhacophoridae
Description: partial 12S ribosomal RNA
Rfam family: Bacterial small subunit ribosomal RNA
Source: RNAcentral
CUGGGAUUAGAUACCCCACUAUGCCAUACCCUAAAUUUCACUUACACUUAAAACGCCAGGGUACUACGAGCCCCGCUUAAAACCCAAAGGAUUUGACGGUGUUCCACCCAACUAGAGGAGCCUGUUCUAUAAUCGACAAUCCACGAUACACCUAACCAUUUUUUGCCACUCAGCCUGUAUACCUCCGUCGUAAGCUUAUCAUUUGAAUGAGAAAAAGUAAGCACAAGGACUAAAAGCCAAAACGUCAGGUCAAGGUGCAGCUUAUAAAAUGGAAGAAAUGAGCUACAAUUUCUAAUUUAGAACACACGAAUUACUGCAUGAAACAAAGUCAUGAAGGUGGAUUUAGCAGUAAGUAAGGAAUAGAGAGCCUUACUUAAUUUGGCCCUGGAACGUGUACACACCGCCCGUCACCCU